Molecule: long non-coding RNA, 168 nt
Organism: Oncorhynchus keta (chum salmon)
Lineage: Eukaryota; Metazoa; Chordata; Actinopteri; Salmoniformes; Salmonidae
Exons: 5
Source: RefSeq, a predicted model, not a curated record
UCUCUCUCGCUCUCGUCUUCUCCUCUUCAGAUUGACAACAAGGAUAAGGAGCAAAGAAAGGGUGAUGACAGUGAUGUGGACAGUGAGAAAGACAAGGCUGAGAAGAAAGACAAGGAGAAGCAGGAGGACAACAUCAGCAAAAAGUCAAAGAAUGAAGUGAACAAGGUU